UGUCCGGAAUUAUUGGGCGUAAAGAGCUCGUAGGUGGCCUGUCGCGUCGGCUGUGAAAACUCGGGGCUCAACUCCGAGCUUGCAGUCGAUACGGGCAGGCUAGAGUUCGGCAGGGGAGACUGGAAUUCCUGGUGUAGCGGUGAAAUGCGCAGAUAUCAGGAGGAACACCGGUGGCGAAGGCGGGUCUCUGGGCCGAUACUGACACUGAGGAGCGAAGGCGUGGGGAGCGAACAGG
Molecule: ribosomal RNA, 235 nt
Filed under: uncultured bacterium
Lineage: Bacteria
Description: partial 16S ribosomal RNA
Rfam family: Bacterial small subunit ribosomal RNA
Source: RNAcentral